UAGGGAAUAUUGGUAGUGGGCGAAAGCCUGAACCAGCAACGCCGCGUGUGCGAUGAAGGCCUUCGGGUCGUAAAGCACUUUUUAUGGGGACGAGGAAGGACGGUACCCAUAGAAUAAGCCUCGGCUAACUACGUGCCAGCAGCCGCGGUAAAACGUAGGAGGCAAGCGUUAUUCGGAUUUACUGGGCGUAAAGCGUGUGCAGGCGGUUUGGAAAGUUGGAUGUGAAAGCUCCUGGCUUAACUGGGAGAGGUCGUUCAAUACUACCAGACUAGAGGAUGAGAGAGGAAAGUGGAAUUCCGAGUGUAGUGGUGAAAUGCGUAGAUAUUCGGAGGAACACCAGUGGCGAAAGCGGCUUUCUGGCUCAUUUCUGACGCUCAGACACGAAAGCUAGGGUAGCAAACGGG
Molecule: ribosomal RNA, 404 nt
Filed under: uncultured bacterium
Lineage: Bacteria
Description: bacterial SSU rRNA
Rfam family: Bacterial small subunit ribosomal RNA
Source: RNAcentral